RNAcentral lists this ribosomal RNA (402 nucleotides) under uncultured bacterium. RNAcentral describes it as "bacterial SSU rRNA". It matches the Rfam family "Bacterial small subunit ribosomal RNA", at positions 355 to 774 of the family's 1533-position model. The record is from RNAcentral.
UGGGGAAUCUUGCACAAUGGGGGCAACCCUGAUGCAGCGACGCCGCGUGAGCGAUGAAGCCCUUCGGGGCGUAAAGCUCUUUCGACCGGAACGAUAAUGACGGUACCGGGAGAAGAAGCUGCGGCUAACUACGUGCCAGCAGCCGCGGUAAUACGUAGGCAGCAAGCGUUGUUCGGAGUUACUGGGCGUAAAGAGUGCGUAGGCGGUUUUCUAAGUUCGGUGUGAAAUCUCCCGGCUUAACUGGGAGGGUGCGCCGAAGACUGGGAAGCUGGAGUGUGGGAAAGGCAGGCGGAAUUCCUGGUGUAGCGGUGAAAUGCGUAGAUAUCAGGAGGAACACCGGCGGUGUAGACGGCUUGCUAGACCCUAACUGACGCUGAGGCACGAAAGCGUGGGUAGCAAACA